Molecule: ribosomal RNA, 253 nt
Filed under: uncultured bacterium
Lineage: Bacteria
Description: partial 16S ribosomal RNA
Rfam family: Bacterial small subunit ribosomal RNA
Source: RNAcentral
UACGGAGGGUGCAAGCGUUAUCCGGAUUCAUUGGGUUUAAAGGGUGCGUAGGCGGCUUGUUAAGUCAGUGGUGAAAUUGUUGGGCUCAACCCGACACCUGCCAUUGAUACUGAUGGGCUUGAGUAUAAUCGACGCGGGAGGAAUGCGACAAGUAGCGGUGAAAUGCUUAGAUAUGUCGCAGAACACCGAUAGCGAAGGCAUCUCGCGAGAUUAUCACUGACGCUGAUGCACGAAAGCGUGGGUAUCAAACAGG